CAGCCCCCCGCGGCGGGGUCGGGGCUGCUCGCCGCCGGCCUCCGUGGCCACGCUGCGCUGGAGCAGGGGGCAGAUCCUGCGGGCGCUCGAAUCCGGCCUGCAGGAAAUGGCCCAGAGCUGGAGUCAGCCGGACGGGAUGGAGACACCCAGCCCCAAGCAACCUCCUUCCCCUCCGUCGCACCGAGGGGUCCAGCCCCGGAUGGCGGAGGGGCCUGUGGGGGCCCCUGACCCUGCAUCGGGGGAGCCCGCGCCCUGGGGGCCCCCCCGAGCCUGGCUGCAGGUCUCGGUGCCCUGGCUGGAGCGGCACGUGGUGCAGCGGGCGCUGGGCACCUUCCUCCUGCCCCCCUGCGUCAGGGAGUCCCAGGCUGCCCACGAGGCCCCGCGGGCCAGGCAGGGCUGUGGGUGCCGAGCUCCAGGGCAGGGGGGGCCCCGGGGCACGGCAGCCCCCGGGAGCCAGCGGGGGGGUCCACGGCCAGGCUGCCAGGAGCCCGCGGAGACCCUGCACCYGGCCCAGCCACCCGACCCGGCGUUUGCCCCUGUGGAGAAGGGUCCCGCAGGGCUGCGCCCACCCGCUGGGCCCCCGCAGGGCCCCGGGUCUGAGCGCCAGAGCAGGGCCCCCCCAUGCUGUGCUCCCCAGCCCCGAAUGGCAGCGCCGUGGGCCCCCCUGCCCCCCCGCAGCCCCUCCUGGCCACGCCAGCAUCCUCCUCCUCCUCCUCCAGCGGGGCAGACGGGCAGGGGGUCCACGGCUGCCUGGCACCYGGGGCGCUCUCCGUCCCCGCCGGGGCCCCGGGGGCGGGUGGCGCUCAGCAGCCCUGCUCCGGGCUGGGCGCCCAGGCUGGGCACGGACCCCUGCAGCAGAAAGCAAGCCCCGAGCGCGGCCGGGGGCGCAGGAGGCAGCCCCGUGGGGCAGCGGCCCGGUGCCGCGCUGAGGAGCGUCCUGCUGAGGCUCCUGCGGGGCCUCGCGCCCUGGGCAUCAGGCAGGGACCGCCCAGCCCCAAGGAGCCCCGCUGCAGGCCCAGGGCGCAAGUCAGGGGCGCAGGGGCCCCAGGAGCCGCGUGGGAAGCGCGAGGCGCGAAGGGACCCCCGACCCAACGCGCCUGCAGCAGGACGCCCGUCCAGCGACGACGAGCCUUGGCCGCGUGGCCGCUUCGGGGGAACAGCCCCAGGAGCCCUGCGAAGCCAUCGGGGCGGCAGCAAGGCCAGGGCCAGAAGUCCUGACAGCAGCUCUCCCCUGGCUGCUGCAAUCCCUCCGGAGGCGUCCACCAGCACAGAGGGGACCACAGCGUCCUCGGGCCCCCACGAGGGUGGUGGUGCCCCCUGCCACAGUCCCCAAAAGCAGCAGGCACCCCAGGCAGGUGCCACAUCGUUCGGUGGUGGUGCCCCGCUCCCGGGAGCACGCAGCAGAGACCUGCCUGGCAAAGAGAGGAGAUGCAGGCUGAGGAGGCRGCCGCCCCGCAGGGCUGGGGCAGGCCACGGAGGGCAAAGGCAGUGGUCCGGGCUUGGGGGGCAGCGCCCUGCCAGCCCCAAGAGCUCCCAGGGCUCCAGGGCACGGUCCCGCAGUACCCACAGACACAUCAGCUUCAAGGGGACACGGGCACGCAGCAGCAGCCCGCAGGGGAUGCCGAGCCAGGCAGSCUUGCCACGUCGCGCCUUUAAACCAUCCAGUGAGGACGACGCCUCCGACAYGGACAGCUCGGCCUCCCUGGAGCACUGUGAUGCCCCUGCCACCAGGCACGUGUGCCCGUGCCACCUGCACCAAGCCCACAGCCGCAGGGCCCAGGGGACUCUGCCAGGCCCGCGCAGCAAUAUCCCCCGCUCAGCGCAGCACACGGUGCGCUCACGGCCAAGCAAACUGUCACCAUCCCUGGAGAGCUCUAGCACUGAGCACAGUUGCCAUCCAGCCUCCCAGGAGAGGCAAUGCCAGACUCUGUGGGGUAUUUGGUCUAAAAAACCCCCGUUUUCUUAAUAAACUACUUAUUUUCUUAUCGAGAGAGCUCUGUGGAGACCUCACUCUGCCAGAGCGGCAGGGUGUGUUAGGGAUGGGAAAGGGGAGAUGGGCUCUGGAGCCCCAGGGAAGCUGUGCUGUCCUGGCAGGAGGACGAAGAGGAGGAUGAGCCAGGGCAUAGCCUGACUAUUCCUUUUGGAGCUUAUCCUCAGCCCUGGCCACGGUGAGGGAACAGCCUCGGGCUCUCUGUGAUCCUAGUCUGGGRACGCAGCAUCGCCCCCCGCACAGAUGGGACUGCCAGCUGUGGCAGCAAUAGGAGCAGGCUGACAGCUCCUGCAGCAAGUCAGGCUUUUCACACUGGCAAGGACAAGUCCUUUGGCUCAACUUAACCUAUGAUCCAUGAGCUGGC
Apteryx rowi (Okarito brown kiwi) is the source of this 2354-nucleotide long non-coding RNA. The record is from Ensembl. Lineage: Eukaryota; Metazoa; Chordata; Aves; Apterygiformes; Apterygidae.